This 437-nucleotide long non-coding RNA is filed under the name Fukomys damarensis (Damara mole-rat). RNAcentral describes it as "lncRNA (ENSFDAG00000025535.1)". The record is from RNAcentral. Lineage: Eukaryota; Metazoa; Chordata; Mammalia; Rodentia; Bathyergidae.
GCACGCUUUCCCUCGUGAGACCAGAUGGCUCCGGAAUGAAGCUGGAACUCUGGAAUUUCACAGACUGACCUGCCAAUAUGGGUGCAGCAGCGCACGGAUCUGGUCUGCGUUGGAAAUGUACUUGUCACUCGGAAAGGCAGCUCUAGGACACCGGCCUUAGCAGGAUGUGCAGACAGCGCCAGCCCUCCUCCCCAGCAAGGGCUGCUGUGAAGACGAAAGGCGAUCCUGGAGAGGCGAGGGUUUCGCCAACCAUCCGAGGCUGUGUAAUGCUGUGGUUACCCCUCCAAGUCAGAGCUCUUACCUGCACAGUGAAGUGGAGGACGAAGACUUCCGGCGUGCAAAGGAAAGAGGGACUAAGCCCCAGCAGACCUCAGGAGAAGGAAACCUCCUGGCUACUUUGGCACAUGUCCACAGUCAGUCUAAGAGAAGCAAGCUGA